AGCCGUGUGGUGAGCACAAACCGAGCUAUUCUUCGCCUUUUACUAAAGAAUACCGUGUGCCAUCCACAGAUAGCGGCAUACGCCGUUUUUUGAAGGGUUCUCUUUCCUUGAGAGAGA
Molecule: non-coding RNA, 117 nt
Organism: Populus trichocarpa (black cottonwood)
Lineage: Eukaryota; Viridiplantae; Streptophyta; Magnoliopsida; Malpighiales; Salicaceae
Source: Rfam